RNAcentral lists this unclassified non-coding RNA (246 nucleotides) under fungal sp. RNAcentral describes it as "partial internal transcribed spacer region". The stretch from base 1 to 46 matches the Rfam family "Eukaryotic small subunit ribosomal RNA", at positions 1786 to 1831 of the family's 1831-position model. The record is from RNAcentral. Lineage: Eukaryota; Fungi.
AAGUCGUAACAAGGUAACCGUAGGUGAACCUGCGGUUGGAUCAUUAUAGAAAUGAUUUUAUUAUUGAGGGAUCAACCUUUAAACAGUUGAUCACUCUUUACCCCAAAACCAUGUGAAUUUGUAUUUCUAUAAGAAACAAUGUAACAGUUGUUUCUUUAAUUUUAAAAACAUUUAUUUAAACUUUUUUUUUUAUAUUUAAAAAACAUAAAGAAAAAACAACUUUUGACAAUGGAUCUCUUGGCUCUC